RNAcentral lists this ribosomal RNA (601 nucleotides) under uncultured archaeon. Its description in RNAcentral is "bacterial SSU rRNA". It matches the Rfam family "Archaeal small subunit ribosomal RNA", at positions 319 to 923 of the family's 1478-position model. The record is from RNAcentral.
UCCCUACGGGGUGCAGCAGGCGCGAAAACUCUGCAAUAAGCGAAAGCUUGACAGGGUUAUUCUGAGUGAUUUCCGCUAAGGAAAUCUUUUGGCACCUCUAAAAAUGGUGCAGAAUAAGGGGUGGGCAAGCCUGGUGUCAGCCGCCGCGGUAAUACCAGCACCCCGAGUGGUCGGGACGAUUAUUGGGCCUAAAGCAUCCGUAGCCGGUUCUACAAGUCUUCCGUUAAAUCCACCUGCUCAACAGAUGGGCUGCGGAGGAUACUAUAGAGCUAGGAGGCGGGAGAGGCAAGCGGUACUUAGUGGGUAGGGGUAAAAUCCGUUGAUCCAUUGAAGACCACCAGUGGCGAAGGCGGCUUGCCAGAACGCACUCGACGGUGAGGGAUGAAAGCUGGGGGAGCGAGCCGGAUUAGAUACCCGGGUAGUCCCAGCUGUAAACGAUGCGGGCUAGGUGUAGGGGCAGCUACGAGCUGCUCCUGUGCCGCAGAGAAAUUGUUAAGCCCGCCGCCUGGGGAGUACGAUCGCAAGACUGAAACUUAAAGGAAUUGGCGGGGGAGCACCACAAGGGGUGAAGCCUGCAGUUCAAUUGGAUUCAACGCCGGAA